Molecule: small RNA, 270 nt
Filed under: Terribacillus aidingensis
Lineage: Bacteria; Bacillati; Bacillota; Bacilli; Caryophanales; Bacillaceae
Description: BsrG
Rfam family: BsrG
About the family: bsrE, bsrG and bsrH pair through intermolecular interactions with antisense sRNAs. SR4 interaction with the 3'UTR of bsrG RNA promotes bsrG degradation and inhibits its translation.
Source: Rfam by way of RNAcentral
CAAUAGCAUAGGUGACUCAAGGGUGGUUUGCGCAUUACUCUUUCCUUUAACGGAGGGUGGUGUAGCGGAUGACGGUGGCUGAGGCGUUGACGUUGAUGAUCGGAUUUGGAACGUUGAUUGUUGCGAUCUUGUCGGAAAAGAACGAGAAAAAAUAACCACCCUUGAGUUGGCAGCUCGAGAAGGGUGGUUACGUUACCUCUUUUUCGCGCAGAUCCCCUAGGGAAUCAUGCUAUUACUGGACAGACCGAUUGGUGUUGGCAGCACCGAACG